AGCGCCGAGUUCAUAUAGCUGCGAUAGCUGUGACGCAAUGCUGACGUCUCUCAAUAUGGCGGAAGCUGUGAGAGUGAAGUUAGCAGUUGAUGCUGAGUGGAAAUUUGCUGUAUAGAGGCUUAUGGAGGCUGACUGAGCAUUAACAUUGCCCUUAUGAGACUUAACGUGCUACCUGGAUAAAUUGCUUAAGCUAGCUAGUUUGGCGUCCAUAUUGGCCAGUUGCCUAGCAGCAGUGAUUCUUCUUUCUGCUUCUUUACUGUAGGCAUAUAUCUGUGGGGCUAAAAAUGUAAUGCUUUUUUUCCUUUUCUGUAUACAUAUAUAGUCAGGUCCAUAAAUAUUUGGACAUUGACAAAAAGUCAAAGACUGCCUGAGGUCUGGAACCGAAAGACGUUACCAGAUGCUGGGUUUCUUCCCUGGUGAUGCUCUGCGGGGAUCUGCAACCAGUGUGGUCUCACUGCAAGUCUCACGCUGCUGGUGGUGAAACAUGGGAGAGUGGCUGAAUGGAGUGCAGGCUGAGCUGGAGAUGGAGAGGCAGGAGAUCUUCAUGUGCAAAGUGAUGCUGAGGAAAAGUGAACAGGAGUUAUAACACAUUCAACAGGCCAGGCUUGCGCUGACAAGGAGGAUGUCAUCCAGCCAGGCCAGGUCAUGCUGGGAGAAGACAAGGUCGAGCAUCUUUCUCACCACCAUCAGUCCCAGGAUCUGGAAUUAGGACACAACCAUUUCAUCUUAAAAUUCUUCAGUUUGAUAAGAUGUUUAAAUAUUGAAUAGACCAACAAGCUGAAAAUGACAAAAUAGCAUCUCACAAGUAUUUCCAUACAAUGAUUUUCCAUUAUCUAGGUCAUGUUAGAUGGCAAAUUGUUGAAGAUGUUUUGCCUUUCAUCUGAAAUCCAGUCACCCUGACUUAUGUCAUGGUGUGUGUAAAUCUAAUUGUGGUUUUGCUGCUGUUAUUAGUUAAAAAAAAAAAAAGUUAGUUUAGUUUAAUCUCUCUCUCUCUCUCUCUCUCUCUCUCUCUCUCUCUCUCCUUCCUACAAUUAUCUUGUACAACCAUCUGGGCACCUUUUGGAAAUUAUUGGCACCUUUAACAUGUAACCUGUAUGCUUAGAUUGUAUUCUGCUAAAUGGCUAAAUGUAAAUGGUAACUACCUAUGACAAGUGGAGUAAUAUGAAAGGAGAGAAAAUUAUACCAGUUGGAUGACUUCUACUUGACAUCAAAUACAAUACCAAUGUAUUCUUUUUUUUCUAAUGUACAGUAAUUCAGGAAUCUGGAGGACAGAAAAAAGCAUAGCUAUUACCAUGACA
Molecule: long non-coding RNA, 1298 nt
Organism: Pangasianodon hypophthalmus (striped catfish)
Lineage: Eukaryota; Metazoa; Chordata; Actinopteri; Siluriformes; Pangasiidae
Exons: 4
Source: RefSeq, a predicted model, not a curated record